RNAcentral lists this transfer RNA (124 nucleotides) under Penicillium salamii. RNAcentral's name for it is "tRNA-Arg". Lineage: Eukaryota; Fungi; Ascomycota; Eurotiomycetes; Eurotiales; Aspergillaceae. The record is from RNAcentral.
AGCAUGUUGGCUCAGAGGAAGCGCGUCGUAAGUUCCGGUGAAUUCUUCACUAGGAAAACCAUCACUAACAUUACCAAAGGGGCUCAUAACCCGAAGGUCCCUGGAUCGAAACCAGGACAUGCUA